This is a non-coding RNA of Paramormyrops kingsleyae, 907 nucleotides long. The record is from RefSeq and is a predicted model, not a curated record. Lineage: Eukaryota; Metazoa; Chordata; Actinopteri; Osteoglossiformes; Mormyridae.
ACAUGUGAAAAAGAAAGAAUCAAACAGUGCUGGCAGUGAGAGAACUACUUGUUUCCGAGCUGCGAGGCUCUUCAGAGAGUCAGAGCCUCACAUCUUAGAGAGCACUGCAGGCGUCUGCCAGCAAGAGCGUAAACAAGUCAGGAGGCAAGGGGAGCUCAGCUGUUGGGGCUCAUUCCAGGAAGCUGGCGAUGGCGGCACUGUGCUUUCUGCUGCCCCAGAAGCCCCUGUGCUCUGGGCCGCGCUGCUCCGUCUCUGAGAAUUAUGGAGAGCCUGGAGCCUACCCUGAGGAGCACAGACCACCCUCAGAGUAGAGCGCUGAUCCAUCACAGGGCAUGCUCAAAGGCCAAUACAAAGAAGUUGGUUUACCAAAAUCUCACUCCUUCAGACUGAAGAAAGAAAGCGGAGCAGCAAGAGGAAACUCAUGGUGAACACAUGGAGAACAUAGAAAUUCAACACAGAGAGCUGUGCCAGGAAUUCCAAACACACAACCCUGAAGGACAAACGAUCCUAGAGGGCCCAUUUUGUUCCUGCCCUUGGUAAACAUGGGGGCGGCAUGCCCAAAGUCACAUGUGACUGGGGGGGACUUCCGUCGCCUUUCGCCAAGAAGACAGCCACAGUGGCCCACUCUGGCGAGGAUGAGCAUGUGGGCUGUCCCAGCCCCCUAACAGCCCCCUGAAUGGCUUUGCAGCUUCAGAGCUCUUUAAUGGAUGGUUCCACAGCAGAACUCUCACAGCAGAUUAAAGCCUUGUGUAAAAACUACUGACCACUAGCUUCGCAGAGGGGAAGAGAGAAAAAAGCAGAAUGGAAAGGAAAAACUGAAAUAAAAACAGCCUCAUAUCUCAGUUCAUUAAUCUAGCUACAGUAGUCAUCUCACGUCUUGUUAAGAUUCUGAUUUCAAACUGAUUAU